This 253-nucleotide ribosomal RNA is filed under the name uncultured bacterium. RNAcentral describes it as "partial 16S ribosomal RNA". It matches the Rfam family "Bacterial small subunit ribosomal RNA", at positions 524 to 776 of the family's 1533-position model. The record is from RNAcentral.
UACGUAGGCAGCAAGCGUUGUUCGGAGUUACUGGGCGUAAAGGGUGUGUAGGCGGUUCUUUAAGUUUGGUGUGAAAUCUCCCGGCUCAACCGGGAGGGUGCGCCGAAGACUGGAGAUCUCGAGUGCGGGAGAGGAGAGUGGAAUUCCUGGUGUAGCGGUGAAAUGCGUAGAUAUCAGGAGGAACACCGGUGGUGUAGGCGGCUCUCUGGACCGUUACUGACGCUGAGACACGAAAGCGUGGGGAGCAAACAGG